UUCUGCGUGAGGGCGCAGCUGGAAAUCCUUUUCUAGCGAAGGAAAUGCGGUGGCGGGAAAAGAUUGAAAGCGGAGACCGACCCUUU
RNAcentral lists this unclassified non-coding RNA (86 nucleotides) under Chryseobacterium scophthalmum. RNAcentral's name for it is "Flavo-1 RNA". The record is from RNAcentral. Lineage: Bacteria; Pseudomonadati; Bacteroidota; Flavobacteriia; Flavobacteriales; Weeksellaceae.